RNAcentral lists this ribosomal RNA (442 nucleotides) under Serratia symbiotica. RNAcentral describes it as "bacterial SSU rRNA". It matches the Rfam family "Bacterial small subunit ribosomal RNA", at positions 21 to 459 of the family's 1533-position model. Lineage: Bacteria; Pseudomonadati; Pseudomonadota; Gammaproteobacteria; Enterobacterales; Yersiniaceae. The record is from RNAcentral.
GGCUCAGAUUAAACGCUGGCGGCAGGCCUAACACAUGCAAGUCGAGCGGUAGCACAAGAGAGCUUGCUCUCUGGGUGACGAGCGGCGGACGGGUGAGUAAUGUUUGGGAAACUGCCUGAUGGUGGGGGAUAACUAGUGGAAACGGUAGCUAAUACCGCAUAAUGUCGCAAGACCAAAGUGGGGGACCUUCGGGCCUCACGCCAUCAGAUGUGCCCAGAUGGGAUUAGCUGUUAGGUGGGGUAAUGGCUCACCUAGGCGACGAUCCCUAGCUGGUCUGAGAGGAUGACCAGCCACACUGGAACUGAGACACGGUCCAGACUCCUACGGGAGGCAGCAGUGGGGAAUAUUGCACAAUGGGCGCAAGCCUGAUGCAGCCAUGCCGCGUGUGUGAAGAAGGCCUUCGGGUUGUAAAGCACUUUCAGCGAGGAGGAAGGGUAAUGUG